Paramuricea clavata is the source of this 262-nucleotide non-coding RNA. NCBI's taxonomy places the organism in Eukaryota, Metazoa, Cnidaria, Anthozoa, Malacalcyonacea, Plexauridae. The record is from the annotation of a GenBank genome assembly.
ACGAGCAAAUUGAGAGAGACACAUGCACACUUCAAAAACUAUUACCAAUUUUAUUCCGCUUGUCGCCCUAAAUAUUUGACGUCGUAGAUAUUUAGCAAUCUACUUAUUUAGGACGACAUCCUAGUCCCAGUCCUCUGCUUAGCCCUGACGUCCUAGCUGACGUGGACGUCGUAGAUCUUAAGCUGUCUAUUGGUUCAUUUUGUGAGGCGGGCGUGUUCUGGUAAUUUUUUGCACGUAUCGGUAUAAAUUUUCAUUACCUGGA